This 301-nucleotide ribosomal RNA is filed under the name uncultured bacterium. RNAcentral's name for it is "partial 16S ribosomal RNA". It matches the Rfam family "Bacterial small subunit ribosomal RNA", at positions 512 to 810 of the family's 1533-position model. The record is from RNAcentral.
CAGCCGCGGUAAUGCGAAGGGGGCUAGCGUUGCUCGGAAUGACUGGGCGUAAAGGGCGCGUAGGCGGCGAUCAAAGUCAGGCGUGAAAUUCCUGGGCUCAACCUGGGGGCUGCGCUUGAUACUUGGUUGCUUGAGUGGGGAAGAGGGUCGUGGAAUUCCCAGUGUAGAGGUGAAAUUCGUAGAUAUUCGGAAGAACACCAGUGGCGAAGGCGACACACUGGCUCAUUACUGACGCUGAGGCUCGAAAGCGUGGGGAGCAAACAGGAUUAGAUACCCCCGUAGUCCCUGUCUCUUAUACACA